This 253-nucleotide non-coding RNA is filed under the name uncultured bacterium. RNAcentral describes it as "partial 16S ribosomal RNA". It matches the Rfam family "Bacterial small subunit ribosomal RNA", at positions 524 to 776 of the family's 1533-position model. RNAcentral also lists the same sequence under 1 other name. The record is from RNAcentral.
UACGUAGGGUCCGAGCGUUGUCCGGAAUUAUUGGGCGUAAAGAGCUCGUAGGCGGUCUGUUGCGUCGGUUGUGAAAACCUGGGGCUCAACUCCAGGCCUGCAAUCGAUACGGGCAGACUAGAGUUCGGUAGGGGAGACUGGAAUUCCUGGUGUAGCGGUGAAAUGCGCAGAUAUCAGGAGGAACACCGGUGGCGAAGGCGGGUCUCUGGGCCGAAACUGACGCUGAGGAGCGAAAGCGUGGGGAGCGAACAGG